RNAcentral lists this transfer RNA (74 nucleotides) under Candidatus Woesearchaeota archaeon. RNAcentral describes it as "tRNA-Ile". It matches the Rfam family "tRNA". From Rfam's summary of the family: Transfer RNA (tRNA) molecules are approximately 80 nucleotides in length. Their secondary structure includes four short double-helical elements and three loops (D, anti-codon, and T loops). Further hydrogen bonds mediate the characteristic L-shaped molecular structure. tRNAs have two regions of fundamental functional importance: the anti-codon, which is responsible for specific mRNA codon recognition, and the 3' end, to which the tRNAs corresponding amino acid is attached (by aminoacyl-tRNA synthetases). tRNAs cope with the degeneracy of the genetic code in two manners: having more than one tRNA (with a specific anti-codon) for a particular amino acid; and 'wobble' base-pairing, i.e. permitting non-standard base-pairing at the 3rd anti-codon position. The record is from RNAcentral. Lineage: Archaea; Nanobdellati; Candidatus Woesearchaeota.
CCGCCCAUAGCACAAUUGGUUAGUGCACGGAGCUUAUAUCUCCGAGGUUCUUGGUUCGAGUCCAAGUGGGCGGA